GCAGAACUCCAGCACAGUGACAGACUGUGCAGUGAAAUGUUCCUUGCUGGGCUGGAAAGUGAACUUCUCAGACCCUUGGAUAGAAAGGCAGAAACCAGCACUACACUGGUAGAAAACUACACUACACCAGCACUGAUUCCUGGAGAGAAACCUCCCCACUGCUCUGCUCGGCUGGGGACUACGAGCUGUGGAUUCUCACAGUUAAAAUGAGGGGAAUGCCAUGCUCGUCCAACCAGCAUGGAGCAGACGCCAAAGUUUCAGUGAUAGAAGGAAGAUCCCAGUGUGCCUCACCACCAUCCCUUGGGACAGACCAUCUUACACAACUUGCUGUGUCUAACACAGCGCAUGAAUGUGGUUUUACUCUUUAUAUCAUGAGGACUGUGUUCACGAGUUGACAACAACAGAUGUAACAGCUAGCUGCAUUUGCUUACCUUAUCGAAAGCUGUUGGGAUUUCUUUACAUAGUGCGUUGGUACUUCUGGAAAGGGCAGUCUGUGGAAUUCCAUUCUGGUGGCUCCCAGGAAGGUUGGAUUUCUGGUAGGACUGGGACCUGUGCAGUGCUCAUCUGCCACCCUUCAUCCUUCCAGGCAGAGGACAUGGAGGAAGAUGUUCAGAGUUUAAGAUACAGUCAAGUAGAUUUUGCACAAAAUGUACAUAUUUGUAGAGUUUGGCAUGAAAAUGAUGUAUUUCCCAUCCGUUCAAGUUUCUGUGGUGAUAGCAAAGUAAAUUAAUGUGACAGCUACCCGCAUUGCUACAGAAGUGUUGGUACCUUGCUGUGCAGUGCAGAUACAUUUUGUGUUCUUUGCAGUACGCUGAAAGCUUUGAAAGAGCGUUUAAUGCCACGUGCAUAGCAGUUUGUUGCAACGUAAUUGAGGAACCUGCUAUUAUGCCCCAUGGAUUGGAUUUAUACACUAGAUUCUGUGAAGGAUUUCUAGAUAUCUAAUCAGACAUUCAAGUUCAUUAUUUUCUGAUUUGAAUGCUUUUGUUGUUGUUGCUGUUCCGAAGUUAAAAGAGAGUUUCCUGUUGACUUGUAAUAUAACUGUCCUUAAAUUGUCCGUUCCCUGCCUUCUGUUCCUCUUAAAGCUAGCCUAAGGAAUAUGGGACUCCCAUAUUCCCAUAUUUCAGCAGAGCAGUGCUGCAAAUCAGCAUGCUGCAGCCCUGAGAGCAUCUUCUUGAUGAGGAGAACUGGAAGAUGGUCUUAAUUGUUCUGCUUAUAUUUUCAUGGGCUUUUUAGUCCCUUCGUGAGAUAGGAAAGGAAAAGAUGAGGCUGACCAGUGUAGUCUGUUAGAUGAUUUCUUUUUAAUUAUUAGGCUUCUACUCAAGGGACUGUACACAUAUAAAAGAUGAGAUUUAAGGGAUACUGAGAAAUUGUGAGACAGGAUUUCUAUGAGAGGCUUGAUCACAUCAGCAGUUCUGGGAUCUCUAUUGAGCUUGUCACCCAUAUGUCACACUGGCAGGUCACAUCGCCAGCCUGAUCCUGCAGCUCAGGUUUGCUGGAUUUUUGAGGAGAGACUGGAGAGACUCUGAAGGUUUAAUGUGUGGCCUGCUUUCCUUUAGGAAAGCCAAUACAUGACCCUGGGAGGCCCCUGACCAGCACCUCAGCGGGGAACAAAGUGGAGCUUGGAGGCUGCCUGGCCAUGCUGCUGUAUCUCGGACCUCCACUAGGGAGAACUGUGGUUGUAUGAAUGCUGGGAGGAGAAAUCAGUUCACCUUUUACAGUUGUUUUUUGUUGCUGUUGUUGUUUUGAAUGAAUGAAUGGUGGCCAAUUGCUGUGGCAGCUGUCUGCAGCUCAGGGAAAAGGUACGGAAAGUGCAGAUACUCCUUGUGCAGGAGGCAACAAAUGCCAGGUUGCAGACCCCUACCAGCAGGGCAGGAACCACCAGUUCUCUGUGCUUCUCACCCACGUCUUGAGCAGCACCCUGAGAGUCAACCUGGUCACGUUUCCCUGACCUUUCCUUGGUACUUCCUGGCUACAGUGGCAGUAACUGAGGGGAGAGGGAGAGUUUUGCUGUUUCCCCAUCUGGGUCUGAUGGACUAGUAUUACUCUAAUGAAGAAUUCUUUCCCACCACCCAGCAACGUUAGUGAGCGUUCACCUUGCCAACGGGAUAAAUAUACAUCCCUUUAAACUAUCACUACGGGAGAGUGCUGCAUUUGGGGCAUCUUUUGGAGCAUUUGUUUGUGAUCCUUCACCCUUUCCGUCCCCCUGGGAGCAGCUUUCCCAGCUGUGGAGGAGGAAGUGGUCUUCUCUGUCUCCCUGGGGAAUGGAAGCCAGGCAGAGUUCAGGGGGAAAGAAAGUAGUAACAGCUAAAUUUGGAAAUCUGGUGUGAAAAUUAAAUACAGUUAAAUACAUUUUUGUCCUUGAAAACUGGGGAGGAGGAAGGAAGAUGCCUGAAUGCAGCCUUUCUACUGAGCCUCAGAGGCAUAACAACAAGUAUUCUGCAGGGCAGGGCUUGUUCCAGAAAGGCUGAACGACAGAGAUCUGACUCCUUCCAGUUACGAGGUGUCACACUUCAUUCUUAGCCACACUGAAGUAGGAAGGAACGUAGAUAAUUUGGCCUGGAAUCUUACAUAUGCCGGUAUGAGAUUCAGUAAAAACUUAUAAUUUGGGCCAGUUGCUGCUUCUCGGUGUUUUUAUGCUCACUGUUAUCAUCUUUAUCUGUACUGAGGGUACGGAGCAGAGUGUUUGCAUUCAUCAUACAUUCAUCCUACAAAAUGAAAUACUGAUGCUUAGUCUGGGAUUUCCUGCUUGCGUUAUUGCUGAGUGUAUAUAAUAUUUGACAUAAAAUAGCAAAUAAGUGCUCAGUAUAUUUAAAGUACAAAUUAGAGCUUUCCCUUUUUAGAAAGACGAUACUCGCUCUACAGAACUCACCUUAUAAGAGGAGCUGAAAUGUAUAUUUUGUCAAAGCUAAACAUGUAGAACGUUUCGCCAGAUGUGCUUUAGGCAGUUUCCUUUCCUGGGAAACAGCAAAUUCCCUUACUCAGCCAAUCCUGCUUUUAUUCCAUACAGCACACGACUAAGCUGCUUGGAGAGAGAUGCCUGGAUACCGCUAACAUUAUCUUUCCAAUUAUCAUUUACUUACAGCUGCGCAGCUUCUGUUUGACAGGCAAAUGCAGAGAUCUUGUGAGACCUCCGAUAGGAAAGGAAGUAUUAGAUUUUUCUGAGGAAAUAUCAGAAAACGUUUACUUUAGGCUAUAUCUGCAGACUUUGCCACCUAAAACAUCUGAAGUGUUGAUUUAGUAGAUAAGCAAGUUCUCGUUUCAGCAAUUCUCAUGUUUUAACAGGGGAAAAAUAGUAACAAAAUAAGGGCAAAAUAAAGGCACGACAAGGAGAACAAGUCGUUUUUGGUGUCGCAUUCUUACAGGGAUGCUUUAUUUACAUGUGAAACCAAAAACUCUGUAGUGUGUGAAAGUGGACCUGCAAAAUCAGGUCUGAGGUGAAACAUUUUCUGCAGCUUGGAAUAAAUCAAUAAAGUAUUUUAUAUAUUC
Molecule: long non-coding RNA, 3486 nt
Organism: Gallus gallus (chicken)
Lineage: Eukaryota; Metazoa; Chordata; Aves; Galliformes; Phasianidae
Exons: 2
Source: RefSeq, a predicted model, not a curated record